GGGGCCAUAGCUCAGCUGGGAGAGCACCUGCUUUGCAAGCAGGGGGUCGGCGGUUCGAACCCGCCUGGCUCCACCA
RNAcentral lists this transfer RNA (76 nucleotides) under Gammaproteobacteria bacterium. Its description in RNAcentral is "tRNA-Ala". It matches the Rfam family "tRNA". Rfam says of the family: Transfer RNA (tRNA) molecules are approximately 80 nucleotides in length. Their secondary structure includes four short double-helical elements and three loops (D, anti-codon, and T loops). Lineage: Bacteria; Pseudomonadati; Pseudomonadota; Gammaproteobacteria. The record is from RNAcentral.